Molecule: small RNA, 749 nt
Filed under: Histoplasma capsulatum
Lineage: Eukaryota; Fungi; Ascomycota; Eurotiomycetes; Onygenales; Ajellomycetaceae
Also listed under: 1 other name
Description: hypothetical RNA
Source: RNAcentral
UCUCUAUUUCAUGCUUCACAAGCUUAACCUCAACAAUAGCUCUCAUUGCUGUAGUUUUAUUAUGGGCAUUCUGCCGGUCUUGCCAUAUCAAGUGCCACCGCAGCACUCUUAACCUCACAUGUUAGGAAUGGAAAGGAAAGGAAAAAUGUGGCCGUGCAGUACUAGUACGAAUCUUAUGACGACUGUAGGGCGGGCCCGUAUACCUUCCCGUUGGCGUCUUCUUUGUUGGCAAUAUAUGCGAAAUCUGAACGAUAUCGUCCUCACAAUAUCGAAAUGAUCUAUAUAUUGCCCAUGUUAGGCCAUUCUCCCGUAAGAAACGGUCUGCAAUGGAAAUCGUGAGCGGGUAGUACCUUUUCGCGGUUAACCAGUGCAGCUGUGCCUGCAGAUGCGGCCGAGAAGUUGGAGGCCCUGAGGAGUCGGAGACUGAAACAAAGGCGUCUAGUUUGCGAACACAACAGUUCUGAGGGAUUUGUAUGGGCUGUGGCUGGCUUGGGUAUAAGUUGAUAUGCUGGGGUGACACGAAGUUCUUGAAGCUGAGAUAAACGGGUAUAUUGUUUGGGAACUCUCCAAAUGCAGAGGCCGAUGGCAGAUACAAGCGAUUGAUAUGAGAGUGCAAAUGAUACUCGUACUCGUACGUAUCAGCAUUAGCACGCGCAAUCUCACGCGUCCACAGAAAAUGCUUUCAAGUUCUUUGGAGGGAAUGAAAUUCCUAGCCUAGUAGCAAUUUGUAGUAGUAGGUGAAGCGCACG